This 843-nucleotide ribosomal RNA is filed under the name Acinetobacter baumannii. Its description in RNAcentral is "bacterial SSU rRNA". It matches the Rfam family "Bacterial small subunit ribosomal RNA", at positions 566 to 1409 of the family's 1533-position model. Lineage: Bacteria; Pseudomonadati; Pseudomonadota; Gammaproteobacteria; Moraxellales; Moraxellaceae. The record is from RNAcentral.
CGCGCGUAGGUGGUUAAUUAAGUCAAAUGUGAAAUCCCCGAGCUUAACUUGGGAAUUGCAUUCGAUACUGGUUAGCUAGAGUAUGGGAGAGGAUGGUAGAAUUCCAGGUGUAGCGGUGAAAUGCGUAGAGAUCUGGAGGAAUACCGAUGGCGAAGGCAGCCAUCUGGCCUAAUACUGACACUGAGGUGCGAAAGCAUGGGGAGCAAACAGGAUUAGAUACCCUGGUAGUCCAUGCCGUAAACGAUGUCUACUAGCCGUUGGGGGAUUUGAUCCUUUAGUGGCGCAGCUAACGCGAUAAGUAGACCGCCUGGGGAGUACGGUCGCAAGACUAAAACUCAAAUGAAUUGACGGGGGCCCGCACAAGCGGUGGAGCAUGUGGUUUAAUUCGAUGCAACGCGAAGAACCUUACCUGGCCUUGACAUAGUAGAGACUUUCCAGAGAUGGAUUGGUGCCUUCGGGAAUCUACAUACAGGUGCUGCAUGGCUGUCGUCAGCUCGUGUCGUGAGAUGUUGGGUUAAGUCCCGCAACGAGCGCAACCCUUUUCCUUACUUGCCAGCAUUUCGGAUGGGAACUUUAAGGAUACUGCCAGUGACAAACUGGAGGAAGGCGGGGACGACGUCAAGUCAUCAUGGCCCUUACGGCCAGGGCUACACACGUGCUACAAUGGUCGGUACAAAGGGUUGCUACACAGCGAUGUGAUGCUAAUCUCAAAAAGCCGAUCGUAGUCCGGAUCGCAGUCUGCAACUCGACUGCGUGAAGUCGGAAUCGCUAGUAAUCGCGGAUCAGAAUGCCGCGGUGAAUACGUUCCCGGGCCUUGUACACACCGCCCGUCACACCAUGGGA